GUGUGUUGCUGCCAGGCCCGCCGCCGUCGCCCCAGCCUGACACUCAAGCUCCUCGGCCAGUCGCCCUAAACAGCAGCUGGCUCGGCAUGGAGCGGGCGGCGGCGGCGGCGGCGGCACCAGCCUUGGAGCAGGCACUGCUACUGAGCAAUGGCCUCCAGCCUCAGGAAGCAGGCCCUGUCCUAUCUAUGGAUGUCAAGGAAUCAGCUUUGGAAGCCAAGCUUGUAGGGCUGGAGGCCAAAGACCUGGCUACAGAUGGUCAAGACGCAAAGCCAGACACGAUGAAUGUGAUGUCAGAUGGCAAGUCCAUGAACUGGGAUCCCCAAGCUGUUAUGCCGGAUGCCAAGUCUGCAAAGCAGGGUGGCAAAGUGACAGCUGCAGAUGCCAUUGCUACAGAAUCGGAUGUUAAGACUACAGAUUCAGAGGCCAAAGACUCAAGUGCAGCUAACAAGAAUGGUGGGCUAGAGGCCACAGCUACAGAAUGCAGGCAAGGAAGACCGGGGGCCCAGGCGGUGAUGUCGAGAAGCAAGGAUAAGGGCUGGAAUGGCAACCCAACCAUGCAGGAUCCUCAACAUACAGGUCAACAUAGCAAAGUUGCAGUUCUGGAUGCCAGAGCAGCAGCGGCAACCACGGAAGUCACCAAACAAGAAGAGAGUAACAAGGAAGGUGACAGUGACAUAAUUUCUCUUGACUGUGAAAUUCUUGGAUUUGGUCCUGAUAUUGAGUUCCUGGGCCCAGAUGCUGAGACCUAUAUGCAUUUCAUGCGGAGCCACCAUUGUUACGACGCUAUUCCCACCAGCUCCAAACUGGUAGUAUUUGAAACCACCUUGCAGAUUAAGAAAGCCUUCUUGGCAAUGGUGGCCAAUGGGGUGCGAGCCGCCCCUCUCUGGGACAGCAAGCAGCAAUGUUUUGUGGGUAUGCUGACCAUCACUGACUUCAUUAACAUCCUACACCGUUACUACCGAUCCCCUCUGGUUCAGAUAUACGAGAUUGAGGAACAUAAAAUUGAAACAUGGAGAGAGGUGUAUCUGCAAAGCUCUUUCAAACCCUUGGUGUGCAUCUCCCCAAAUGACAGCCUCUUUGAUGCUGUUUAUUCCUUGAUUAAGAACAAGAUCCAUCGGCUGCCUGUUAUUGAGCCCAUCUCCGGGAACGUCCUCCACAUCCUGACACACAAGCGUAUCCUCAAGUUCCUUCAUAUUUUUGGAGCCAUGCUUCCAAAGCCACGCUUUCUGCAGAGAACCAUCUUAGAGCUGGGCAUUGGCACCUUCCGUGACGUCGCCAUGGUACAGGAAUCAGCCCCUGUCUAUACAGCUCUGGAGAUCUUUGUGGACCGCAGGAUCUCUGCAUUGCCUGUCAUUAAUGAAACAGGGAGAGUCGUUGGCCUCUACUCCCGCUUUGAUGUGAUUCAUUUGGCUGCCCAGAAAUCCUACAACAACCUGGACAUUAGUGUGGGGGAAGCGCUGAGGCAGCGCUCAGUCUGUCUGGAGGGGGUACUCACAUGCCACCCAUAUGAGACUCUGGAAGCCAUUAUUGAUCGCAUUGCCAAGGAGCAGGUUCAUCGCCUGGUUCUGGUGGAUGAGAAGAAAGCCCCACGGGGGAUCAUCUCCCUCUCUGACAUUCUCCAGGCCUUGGUGCUCACGCCUGCAGGUAUCGAUGCCCUAAACUCUUAAGCUGCUCGACGUUGCAUCCUUCCUCCAUUUGUACCCUCCAUUUCCUCCGCUUCUCUCCGGCUCAGGCAUUGACCGCCAUUCCCUCUGAUGUGAAAGAGCACUUGCUGCCCCCAGCACCUUGGGUUACUGCCACUGCAUCCAUGACACAUGAAGUGGGGUAGGAAAUCUCCGAGACAGAGAAACGAGAGACAUUUCCUCUUAACAAGCAAUACUAGCGCUCUGACCACUCAUUGCCACCUCCUCCUGCUCCCCAGGCUACAGGAAGAUGAAGAGAGGAAAGUGAGAGAGAAGAAGUGAUGAGGAGAGGAGACCUGGACUUCAGAACUGUAAAUAGACAGACAUUUAAUCCCUCAAAAGCUUUUUACAUGGUUUUUCAAGCAGCCUUGGUCCAGAUGGGGAGAAAGUAGGUCCUAGUUGAACAAUGCAUGUGUUUGCCUCCUCCUGCAGCCCUUGCUGAAUGUAGGUGAAGUCACGUCAAUUGAACUUGCUUCCAGAUCUUCUAAUUUCAGCUAAAGUCCUUUUUUAAAAAAGCAGUUGAUAGCUGUAGCUUUAAGACCUGUGGACAGUCUCUAUGCAUACAAGGGGGAAGGUAGAAGAGGAGCCAUCUGCAAGCUUUGAAACCAGACCCCACUUCUUGACAAGAGGAUUUUCUCAUUAGGCAAUACUGCCUUGGAGAAGUGGUAGAGUCUCCCUUUCAUGCUGCUUCCACUUGAAGACUGAGCACAUAUCAGGCUAAUGCAUUGCUUUCUGAUAUUUCAUUACACUUGAGCCAGCAAGAAGAUGUGAGAAUGUGUAAGGUAGAGAGAAAUUUCUUGAAGUAACUAUAGGCCUGUGUAUGAAACCUUAACAAGCUCCAUCUAGUAGUAGAUUUUCUCCUGUUGACAUUUCAAAAUCUCUUUUUGUCAAAGGGAAAAGAAAAGAAAGGAAAGCGAUGGUGAGAGAAGGGCACAAUUCUUUCCUGUUUUUACUAUGUAAACCACUUUGAGAAUCUUCUUGUUGAAAAACAGUAUAUAAAUAUUUAAGAAUAAUAAAAACACAAGUCAGUCCACAUUCAUGAUUGACCAUCAGCAAUCUUCCCUACUGUGAGCCUGUACAAAUAACCAAAGCAUUGUUCUUAUGUAUCCGGAACAGUAGAAUAAAAGGAUUUGCUCACA
Molecule: RNA transcript, 2821 nt
Organism: Hemicordylus capensis (graceful crag lizard)
Lineage: Eukaryota; Metazoa; Chordata; Lepidosauria; Squamata; Cordylidae
Gene: PRKAG3
Gene name: protein kinase AMP-activated non-catalytic subunit gamma 3
Exons: 13
Source: RefSeq, a predicted model, not a curated record